Epinephelus fuscoguttatus (brown-marbled grouper) is the source of this 282-nucleotide long non-coding RNA. RefSeq lists it as uncharacterized. The transcript is spliced from 3 exons. The record is from RefSeq and is a predicted model, not a curated record. Lineage: Eukaryota; Metazoa; Chordata; Actinopteri; Perciformes; Serranidae.
ACAAUGAAGUUUGUGGCUGGUGCAUUUGUGCACAGAUCUGGAAGACUAUAGAUUUAGAAGUUGUUCUUCUGAUGAAGACUGAACAUGGCACAUAACAGAGACACAGGGUAAAAAGGCUUUUAUUGGAAACAGCACAAAUCUUAGGAAUGAGACACCCUCAGCAAGCGUACCUCAGUGUAACAGAUGUCAGUGCGCCAACCCUGUCCUGUGGACGAUAACAAGGUGCAGACAUCCCUCUGUAUCACAAAUGAAGAAGACAUACAGCAGAAGCUGGACGGAGCU